GAGAGAGAGAGAGAGAGAGGAAGAUUAGGUGGAUUGUUCGGUCUGGGGCCUUGGAGGUCUCAAAGGCGAAGGGGAUUGUGGUUUUUCUUGGGGCGGGGAACACACUGGGCUAGAGAUGUCUGCACUGUGUAGUACGUGGGUUGGGUUUCUCUGUGGUCCAGCUUAAACCCUUGAGCUGUCGGUUGAUGGUUUUGCAUUUCAGCAUAUGCGAAUCAGAUUCAAACUUUUUAUUUCAUAAUUAGUUGAAAUUAAGCAAAGAAACAAAUAAGUAGAAUAUAAGAAGAAUUCUUCUAGAAGAUCACAAGCUUUGACACUUUGACUUUUGCUUUAGAAUCUUCGGUUGCG
Molecule: unclassified non-coding RNA, 345 nt
Filed under: Hevea brasiliensis (rubber tree)
Lineage: Eukaryota; Viridiplantae; Streptophyta; Magnoliopsida; Malpighiales; Euphorbiaceae
Source: RNAcentral